UCGAGAAUCUUUCACAAUGGGGGCAACCCUGAUGGAGCGACGCCGCGUGGAGGAUAAGGUCUUCGGAUUGUAAACUCCUGUCAUGUGUGAACAAGGCUGUCCUGUUAAUAGCAGGGCAGAUUGAUGGUAACACAAGAGGAAGAGACGGCUAACUCUGUGCCAGCAGCCGCGGUAAUACAGAGGUCUCAAGCGUUGUUCGGAAUCACUGGGCGUAAAGGGUGCGUAGGUGGCGUGGUAAGUCAGAUGUGAAAGCCCGGGGCUCAACCUCGGAAUAGCAUCCGAUACUACCAUGCUAGAGUACUGAAGAGGUGACUAGAAUUCUCGGUGUAGCAGUGAAAUGCGUAGAUAUCGAGAGGAAUACCAACGGCGAAGGCAGGUCACUGGGCAGUUACUGACACUGAGGCACGAAGGCCAGGGGAGCAAACG
Molecule: ribosomal RNA, 426 nt
Filed under: uncultured Prosthecobacter sp.
Lineage: Bacteria; Pseudomonadati; Verrucomicrobiota; Verrucomicrobiia; Verrucomicrobiales; Verrucomicrobiaceae
Description: bacterial SSU rRNA
Rfam family: Bacterial small subunit ribosomal RNA
Source: RNAcentral